GACGAACGCUGGCGGCGUGCCUAAUACAUGCAAGUAGAACGCUGAAGGAGGAGCUUGCUUCUCUGGAUGAGUUGCGAACGGGUGAGUAACGCGUAGGUAACCUGCCUGGUAGCGGGGGAUAACUAUUGGAAACGAUAGCUAAUACCGCAUAAUAGCAGUUAUUGCAUGAUAACUGUUUGAAAGGUGCAAUUGCACCACUACCAGAUGGACCUGCGUUGUAUUAGCUAGUUGGUGGGGUAACGGCUCACCAAGGCGACGAUACAUAGCCGACCUGAGAGGGUGAUCGGCCACACUGGGACUGAGACACGGCCCAGACUCCUACGGGAGGCAGCAGUAGGGAAUCUUCGGAAAUGGACGGAAGUCUGACCGAGCAACGCCGCGGGAGUGAAGAAGGGUUUCGGAUCGUAAAGCUCGGUUGUAAGAGAAGAACGAGUGUGAGAGUGGAAAGUUCACACUGUGACGGUAUCUUACCAGAAAGGGACGGCUAACUACGUG
This 495-nucleotide ribosomal RNA is filed under the name uncultured bacterium. RNAcentral describes it as "partial 16S ribosomal RNA". It matches the Rfam family "Bacterial small subunit ribosomal RNA", at positions 28 to 507 of the family's 1533-position model. The record is from RNAcentral.